This 990-nucleotide ribosomal RNA is filed under the name Triticum aestivum (bread wheat). RNAcentral's name for it is "partial small subunit ribosomal RNA". The record is from RNAcentral. Lineage: Eukaryota; Viridiplantae; Streptophyta; Magnoliopsida; Poales; Poaceae.
AUGAAAGAGUACUCAGAUGCGGGGAAGUACCGUGGCCAAAAUGGGUGGACAAAGGAAGGAUGGAAGGCUAUGAAAGACCGAUUAAAUGCGAGACCUCCUGGAGCUAAUUUUACUGUUCAACAGCUGAAAGAUAGGGAGCAAAGGCUGAAGAAGGAACUGAAUGUCGUCAAGUCUAUUGUGGAAAAGAGUGGAUUUGGUUGGGAUCCCAAGAACAAAGUUCCAACGGCUUUAGAUGAAAAAUGGGAGGAGCUAUCAACUGAACAACGCAAGUGGAGGCACAAACCAUUCCCGUACUAUGUUGUUCUAUAUGAAAUUCAUGAAGGUAAAAUGGCAGAAGGCAAGCGUUGCAAAAGGACAACUGAUGGUACUGAAGAGAGGUACAAGAAUAUGUCCCAUCUUCCUGAACAUGGAACCUAUACUGAUAAUGUUAUGAGGGCUUCUAGUAUGGAUACUCCUGAGGCAACACUAUCUGCUCCGGGAUCAGCAAUCCCAGAAUAUGACUGGGGUGGAAAUAUAUAUGGUGAUGAUGUUGAUUUAUCAUAUGGUGGAUAUUCAGAACCUCUAGGGAGUAAUGAAAAUCAUGUUUCAGCAGUAGAAGAUUUAACAAGUGUGGAUUCACCUCGAAGGAAGAGGCUUCGGAAUUCAAAAGGAUCUGAUGAUGGAAGUGACAAAACUAAGGGAAAAAGAGGCAAGGACAUUGUGUUGGCCAACUUGGUUUCUGUGAGGGAAGAAGAAAUGCAGACUUGUAAGGAAAUGAAGACAAAGCAAAUUGACAGCUACAAGGAAAUCAAGAUGGCCCAAAUGGAAAGGAAUGACCCCAAAAAUGAUCCUUAUGGCAUGCCAAACUAUAUUGAGAAACUUAGAACAUUGGGACUCACUCCAAGUGACCAGCACAAGAUGAUUAACCAUCUGAAAGAACAUAUGCUAAACCGUCAAACAUUCAUGGAAGUAGACGAUGAUGUUCUUUCCGUGAUUAUCAAAGAAGUGGUG